Molecule: transfer RNA, 70 nt
Filed under: Fukomys damarensis (Damara mole-rat)
Lineage: Eukaryota; Metazoa; Chordata; Mammalia; Rodentia; Bathyergidae
Rfam family: tRNA
About the family: Transfer RNA (tRNA) molecules are approximately 80 nucleotides in length. Their secondary structure includes four short double-helical elements and three loops (D, anti-codon, and T loops).
Source: Rfam by way of RNAcentral
UGGGGUGUGGCUCAGUGAUAGAGCAAUUGCUUAGCAUGCAUGAGGCCCUGGGUUCAUCCCAGUGCCAUAA